This 597-nucleotide ribosomal RNA is filed under the name Bacillus sp. CL33 3.3.1. RNAcentral's name for it is "bacterial SSU rRNA". It matches the Rfam family "Bacterial small subunit ribosomal RNA", at positions 84 to 666 of the family's 1533-position model. Lineage: Bacteria; Bacillati; Bacillota; Bacilli; Caryophanales; Bacillaceae. The record is from RNAcentral.
CCCUGAUGUUAGCGGCGGACGGGUGAGUAACACGUGGGUAACCUGCCUGUAAGACUGGGAUAACUCCGGGAAACCGGGGCUAAUACCGGAUGGUUGUUUGAACCGCAUGGUUCAGACAUAAAAGGUGGCUUCGGCUACCACUUACAGAUGGACCCGCGGCGCAUUAGCUAGUUGGUGAGGUAACGGCUCACCAAGGCGACGAUGCGUAGCCGACCUGAGAGGGUGAUCGGCCACACUGGGACUGAGACACGGCCCAGACUCCUACGGGAGGCAGCAGUAGGGAAUCUUCCGCAAUGGACGAAAGUCUGACGGAGCAACGCCGCGUGAGUGAUGAAGGUUUUCGGAUCGUAAAGCUCUGUUGUUAGGGAAGAACAAGUGCCGUUCAAAUAGGGCGGCACCUUGACGGUACCUAACCAGAAAGCCACGGCUAACUACGUGCCAGCAGCCGCGGUAAUACGUAGGUGGCAAGCGUUGUCCGGAAUUAUUGGGCGUAAAGGGCUCGCAGGCGGUUUCUUAAGUCUGAUGUGAAAGCCCCCGGCUCAACCGGGGAGGGUCAUUGGAAACUGGGGAACUUGAGUGCAGAAGAGGAGAGUGGAA